Dama dama (fallow deer) is the source of this 690-nucleotide long non-coding RNA. RefSeq lists it as uncharacterized. The record is from RefSeq and is a predicted model, not a curated record. Lineage: Eukaryota; Metazoa; Chordata; Mammalia; Artiodactyla; Cervidae. The transcript is spliced from 3 exons.
GUCUGUAGUAAGAAUUUGUUCUGUGUCAGGCUUGGGCUAGAAGCUUUACGAAUAGGACAGCAUUUGAUCCUCGCUGCAUCGCUGUGAGCCCUUAUCCUGCUCACCUAAAAGACUGGCAAUGAGUUUCACCAAACUUCUGGGACACCUUACCUGACAUUAGCAUCCUUGAACUGGAUCAAAUGCCCAUUUUUGGACUUAGUACCUGGCAAAGAAAUUGAAGAUUGCACAAUAGUUUGGAUCAAUCAAUCAUGGUUUAUCUCCUGGACUGGGCACUUUGUCACCUGAAUGAAACUGACGUUUUAUUAACAAGGGAGAAGGGAGGAGUGACCCCUAGGGAGGCUGUGGUCGGUGUCUGUUAGAGCAAUACUGCACGCCAGCAGGGAUGCAUGUGACCUUUCCACACUGAACCUGCUCAUCAGGGCUCUUCCCUCGGCCUCGUAGGAGCCAGAAGGAGCCUUCUCUCCCUCUGGCUGACGGCUGUAGAUAGCAGCGUAUUGUUCCAUAAUGGAUCUGAAGAUGCAGGCAUCCGGUGAUCAGAGCUGGGACCUUUGGGAACAUGGCCGCAGCUAACUCAAAGGAAACAAAAAGGUGCACUUGCGUUAGAAGACUGUGCAUUACAAUGUGGCAAGUCAGUAGGUGUCAAAAUCUGGUUCUGUCAUUAUCUGUGAUAUAAAAUUUGACGAUAACCUC